This 26-nucleotide non-coding RNA is filed under the name Mus musculus (house mouse). The record is from RNAcentral. Lineage: Eukaryota; Metazoa; Chordata; Mammalia; Rodentia; Muridae.
UAUGCAGCUCGAGAAACAAGCUCUGG